This 449-nucleotide ribosomal RNA is filed under the name uncultured bacterium. Its description in RNAcentral is "partial 16S ribosomal RNA". It matches the Rfam family "Bacterial small subunit ribosomal RNA", at positions 354 to 796 of the family's 1533-position model. The record is from RNAcentral.
GUCGAGAAUCUUUCACAAUGGGGGCAACCCUGAUGGAGCGACGCCGCGUGGAGGAUAAGGUCUUCGGAUUGUAAACUCCUGUCAUGCGUGAACAAGGUUGCUUGGUUAAUACCUGGGCAAAUUGAUGGUAACGCAAGAGGAAGAGACGGCUAACUCUGUGCCAGCAGCCGCGGUAAUACAGAGGUCUCAAGCGUUGUUCGGAAUCACUGGGCGUAAAGGGUGCGUAGGUGGCGUGGUAAGUCAGAUGUGAAAGCCCGGGGCUCAACCUCGGAACUGCAUUCGAUACUGCCAUGCUAGAGUACUGGAGAGGUGACUAGAAUUCUCGGUGUAGCAGUGAAAUGCGUAGAUAUCGAGAGGAAUACCAAAGGCGUAGGCAGGUCACUGGACAGUUACUGACACUGAGGCACGAAGGCCAGGGGAGCGAACGGGAUUAGAAACCCGAGUAGUCC